This 99-nucleotide transfer RNA is filed under the name Rhizophagus irregularis DAOM 181602=DAOM 197198. RNAcentral describes it as "tRNA-Arg". Lineage: Eukaryota; Fungi; Glomeromycota; Glomeromycetes; Glomerales; Glomeraceae. The record is from RNAcentral.
GCCCGACUGGCGCAAUUGGAUAACGCGCCAAGACCUCUAAUGAAUGUUGAGAAUUCAGUUGAUAUCUGGUGAUUGUGGGUUCGAGUCCCACGUCGGUAU